CUCCCGAGCCCAUCGGCUUCCCCCUCCCCAACCAAACCCCAUGGCUGCGCACGUUUCGGCCGAGAAGGAAGCGAAGCCGUUCCUUGGCAACGCUCUGCUCAUUGUUGUGCUGCAUCUCAUCCGAGCUGUUCUUCCGUCGUUGGCCUAUAUGUGCACCAUGGACUGAGCAGUUCCGUGUCUUGACUGCUUUUCUUGGCUGGAGAUGGCCAUGGAGGCGGGUACUACAGUUCUCACCCUUUGGCUUCAGAUGUUCGGGCCGGCAAGGGAAGAUAAGAUGGUGCUUGUCACCUUUCUUUCUUUUGUAGUCGGCCUUCACCUCAUGAGCUUGUCGAUUUAUUACCUUCAUAAGCUGGGAGUUUCUGAGAUUGAUGUCACCAACCCGACAAGAUGGUAUGCGGUCUUACUCACGUUUGUCUUUGGUGGCACCAUCUCAACCUUCUACGCACUAUGCCGUCAUGCCUACUAUGACGGUCACCACAACUAUUAUCUGGCUUGGGCGGUGUGGUUCUUUGGGGUGGCGUUUGAGGUAGCCAAGCUCGGCUGGUCAAUUCUAAGACGCUUCGAAUGCGUGCAA
This is a long non-coding RNA of Triticum aestivum (bread wheat), 574 nucleotides long. RefSeq lists it as uncharacterized. The transcript has 3 exons. The record is from RefSeq and is a predicted model, not a curated record. NCBI's taxonomy places the organism in Eukaryota, Viridiplantae, Streptophyta, Magnoliopsida, Poales, Poaceae.